Molecule: unclassified non-coding RNA, 1383 nt
Filed under: Bombus terrestris (buff-tailed bumblebee)
Lineage: Eukaryota; Metazoa; Arthropoda; Insecta; Hymenoptera; Apidae
Description: misc RNA ENSBTSG00005030283.1
Source: RNAcentral
UUAGAUAAGCAGUGGUGUAAUGAUAUAUGACAGAGAAGAAAUUUGAAUUAAAGUAAUUUCGGUGAAGUUGAGUUCAUAUAUAAUAGUAAAAAAAUUUAUAAAACAAUUACAAGAAAUUCUGUGCUAAUGAGAAAUUACUGAAGAUGUUCAAAUGACAAUGUUGAUUUCGCUAAUGACUUAUCAAACUCGUCAAACGAAAACUUCUGAUACGAAAUCGAGUCAACGAUAAGACAACACUGAUAGAUACUUCUUCGAUCAUAUGAUGCAAUCGUCAAUGUCACGCGAAGGUAUCUCCCACUUCUAUGCUCACGGCUGCGCAGUGGCGAUUCUCGUGGUGACUACGAGCUGCGUGCAUUCACUUAACAAUUUCUUCGGCUCUGCGCAACGUGUUACUACCACGCGGUGAUCCUUCAUAUUGAUCAAUAUCUGUAUCUGAUAAUUUUAUUUAUGCCGAUUUUUCAAUAUUUGACCACCUGAUCUGUAAAAAAUGUAUAAUUCGAGGUAUCCGAAGCUACUUUUAAAAAAAGAUUAUUUGAAAUCCUGUGCAUCUUUUUUAAUGUAAUUUUAUGAGAAACUAGAUAUUCUGUAAUUCGCAUCAUGAAUUCUCUUAGAAUUGUAACUUGUACGUUUUUACGUUAGCCACUUUGCUACCUUUAGUUUGAUAGGAAUAUAGUAUAUCUGCUUCUGCUAUUAGAUCUACUACGCAAUUGUUACCUGCAACAUAAAUUUUGUAACUUACAGCGCGCGAUUUGAUUUCAAAUUUUCAAAAAAUCUUGAGAUACAACAACUUUUUGUUAAAAACUUCACAUGCUUAUUUAAAGGAAGAACAAAUUAGUUAAUAAUAUAGUUUGCAUUUAGAAAUUCAAUGAAACAACCUUAUGUAACAUGUCGCCUUCGGCCAUAUCGCUUAAACAUACAAAAGUUAUUAACAUAAAAAUUCUACCGCCCACGAAACCAAUAUCAAAACAUCAAAAACCUUAGAAUUUAAUGAAAUCAACCAUACCACCUUCGAGAUAAAUACGCAUGUAGUAGCUGUGUGCUUCCUCCAGUCAAUGUAAUGUAAAUCUCGGAGACCAUAAAAUUCCGUUCAUAUUUAUUGGGACACGUGCUAGUCUCGUAUAUAUCAUGAUAAUUGAUGGAAAUUACAAAGGAAAUAAAUAAUCGAAUGAAAUUAGUGAAAAGAAUUUAAGGUUCCAAUUCUAACACUCUAAGUUUUGGUUUCCAAGAUUUUAAAGCUCCAAUUCUGAAAAGUUUGAUAGCGAAAGUAUUUCAAUUCUCGUUCCUUAAUAGCGUAAUUAGGUCACUUUUCAUGACAUAAGCUUAAACAUAGAGCACACGUAUUUUCAUUUCGUCGCUAAGAUGAUUAUGUUUAAAGAUCAGUGA